This is a non-coding RNA of Petromyzon marinus (sea lamprey), 1033 nucleotides long. Lineage: Eukaryota; Metazoa; Chordata; Hyperoartia; Petromyzontiformes; Petromyzontidae. The record is from RefSeq and is a predicted model, not a curated record.
GUGACGAGGCCUAGUCCCGUUGCAAAGCCUCCGGCCUCGCCUAGAUUACCCGGCCGGCCGAGGCUGUGGGCUGGGCCGCUACCACCCCCCCCACCCCGCGCUACAAUAAUCCUAUUUAAUCGCUAUAAUUUUAGUAUCUACCGAGCCUAUAAUAGUAAGCGCACACAUUGGGGUGGAGGGGGAGAGAAGAGGACGUGACACUUUGAUGAAUUUACCUCAGCGUCGCGUGUAAACUUUUUGCAUUUUGAAUGAGAAAUGGCGUCCUCCCCUGCGGCGACGGCGUCCGUGCGUUGCCAGGGGCAACAACUCGCGUCAGCGUUUCGCGCAUGCGCAGCAGCGAGCCGGUCGGCAAAGACUACAGGUGACCGGGAUGCCAGCACCGGACCCAUCGGCGUCCAUGGCUGAAGACGCAGCCGCAGCAUCGGCCGAGGACUAGGCCACAGGACGGGGCCCCUUAACCCGCUCACGCUCACACCGCCUCGUCGCAGCUGUGGACACGGACAUCCCUGCAACCCUGUUGUGUUCGGUCGAGGGAUCGGAUCUGGGGGGAAGACUGCGACAGAGGCGGCGCUCUUGUUAACAAGGAGACGGAGGGGGAAUUGUGUUGUGUUACUUUUGCUUUAUUGCACAUUUUUGGUUGUUGUUGUUUAAAUUGCAUGUGCCCGGCCGCAAUUGGCUUUGAACGGCCGAGGCAUACAGUUGUUGAGCUGAGGACGGCAUUGUCUCAAGGAAGGGGGGGGGGGUGAUAUAAGGGAUCUGCGAACCACCCUCACGCACACGCACCACGCAGACAUGAAAUCUCCGCACUCAGUAUAGCACGCACCAAUCACACGCACGGGAAUACACUAGACGGGGGUCAAGGGUUAAAGGGCACUGACGUCACCCAGACCAGGCAUGCGAGAUGAGGAUCUGUAUUGGGAACGAGGGCGGAGAUGGAGGGGUUAAAAGGGGCUGUGAAAUGCGUGUUCGGGGUUGGUUUUAGAACGAGUGUCGUGUCGCUGUGGGUUGACGAAUAAAGAAGCGCUUAACCAGU